Long non-coding RNA from Megalobrama amblycephala (Wuchang bream), 3390 nucleotides. RefSeq lists it as uncharacterized. The record is from RefSeq and is a predicted model, not a curated record. The transcript has 3 exons. Lineage: Eukaryota; Metazoa; Chordata; Actinopteri; Cypriniformes; Xenocyprididae.
ACAACUGUAUUUUCAUUAACAUUAACAAAGAUUAGUAAAUACAGUAACGCAUGUACUGCUCAUAGUUCAUGUUAGUUAAUGCAUUAACUAAUGUUUAACUCUCAUAUGGUCUUUGGGGUCUUUUUGACCCGCAAAUGAUGUUUGCUCAAAUGAAAAAAAAAAAAAAAGUUCUCUUUGUCCAAAUGUUGUUACGUCCAGAGACGAAGUCUUCAUCGGAUUUAUGUUUUCUUUAAUGUAUGUUCUUUUUUUUUCUUUCCUUGUUUUUUCUUGCUCCUCCUACUCAAUCUGCCUGGCAGGUAGCUGAUUGAGAAAAUGUUCCCCCAAGAGCUUUCUCCAGAGUGUUGUCUUUGUCCUGCCUAACUGGUUGCUGCUUGAUAUCCUACUUUGGUAUUGUAGUUUUUUUUUUUUUUUGUAUUUGCUCAUUAUGAUAUUCUCCAACACUUACUUUUGCCAUUUAAGUUAAAGUGAUUCAUAUUGUCCUUCACCCUCAUCUGUUUGUUAUAUUAUUUGGCUUAUAGCUGCUACUAUUAUCAUCUAGUUUAGCAGCUACUUAAAUAUCUGUUUAUUUGUGUUUUGCUUAUUUUUGUUUUACUUGGAGGCUGUAGGGAGCUGGGUGGCAUUUUUCUUUUUUGUUUAACCCUAUUUUCUCCUAUUUUGGGGCCAGGAAGGGAGUUAAGGUACAACUCUGUUAUUUUCUUUUGUUUUCUUUGUUAGUUUAGUUAGAGGUUCUAAUGACUUUAGUUAGUUUGCAUGUCGUUGUUUAUUAUUUUGGCUUUGUCCUCUCCUGAAGCUAUUGCUUCCUUUUUCUUUUCUUUGUAUUUUAUUACAGUACCUUUUUCUUGUAUUUGUUCCACGAGCUGUGAAAUAAAAUCUUUUUUGUGAUAAUUUGUUGCUUGUGGUGCUAUGGCAGGACUCGGAUGAACGCUCUUUAAAAUAUUUCACUUUUGUUGCGUCCACAUACACCCCUAGACUUAUGUGGGAUGUAACAAUGGCAUGAGACUUUGUACGGUGGUUAACACUUUUAAGAUCAGAUGUACACACACACAAAAAAAAAUGUUUUUAUGUUGGUGUAAAAAAAAAAGUUACACAACAAAAUGUAAUUUUGGAACAAUAUAACAGGACUCAACACUAAGGAUUUUUUCUACUGGCCCAGUUGGGCCAGUGGUUCAAAUUUUUACUUGCCCCACAACAAAAAAUUAAUAAAGUAACAGAAAAGAAAAUGGGUCUAUAAAAUAAGCCAAGUUAUUGUUUUCGUUGUUUUUGAUACAUGUAACCUUAAUAAAUAAGGUUAUGAAACCAAAAGAUACUAGAUUAACUUACUUAAAUUUUAAAUAUUGUUAGAUAAAUAGAAAAUCAUAAAAUAUUAAUAAAUAAUCAAAUUACGAGUAAUAGCACAAAUGAAUACAGCAGAACAAAUAAAUAAAUGAAAUAAACAAUGCUUUUCAAGUUUUUCAUGUAGGUUUAAACAGAUUUUCAAGUACAGUAAUUGUAAUAUCUAUAACUAUAUAACUAUAGAUUUAUAACUAUAGAUUAAACUUUAUUAAUCAGUCGAUAGCAGUUACAGAUGCAUAAAUGUUUUAAAAUGUUGAAAAUGUAAAACGUUAAAUACUGUCAUUUCAAAUUAUUUUAAAAAUGAAGACACUUAAAAUCUGAAAUUAAACCCGCCAGUAAGUGGCAGCAAGUCCCUGCUAAUGAGCGACUCAUUGAGAUUCAACCGGAUUCAACCGAUUCAUUCAGGCGGCUGAUUCAUUCAGGAAGUGUUGCUCAGAGACGCAAAACAAUUCUGUGGACUUUGUUUGGAACUGUUUUCGUUGGCGAAAUAGAGUGAAACAGGCGAUUUAGUGUCUAAAAUGUAAGUCACUUGAUAUUAAGUUCUCAUUAAACUGUAGGCUACUCUGUAUAAAAUCAAUAUCACAUUUAAUAGACUAAAUAGAUUAAUAGACUAAAUCAGGCGCAGUGAAAGUGUACACACUAAAUAGUCCUUACUGUCGAGCCCUGUAUAAUAUAUAUUUUUUAAAAACAAAUGUAAUUUUACUCUAUUAAUGUUUUAUAAGGGUUCAAGAAUAGUUGCUGUUAUGUUUUGCUCUUAAUUGAAAAAUGAAAGAAAAAUGAUUAUACAGGAAAUCAAAAUAAAAUAUUCCUAAUAAAUCCUAUGACAUCUUGCCAGACGUUUAGGGACAAUACCAAACACAAAACAACUAGUUUUGUCAGAGUGGUCACAAAAAGUACAACUGGAGCAAAUAUCAUUUUUGAACUUAAGUAGUUGUUUGCAGGGUAGCACUUAUGAAUUAUUUUAAAAGAAAUCUAUUUUACUUUAUUGGUUAAAAAAAAGAAAUGUGGAAGCAUCCACACUUUUUCCAAAAUAUAUGAUCUACUCUGCAUUACUCCAAUACAGAAACGUGUCUACGGCUGCAUCCGAAACCGCAUACUUCUCUACUAUAUAGUAGGGGAAAAGCAGUAGGCGAGCGAAAAAGUAUGUCCGAAACCGAAGUAUUCAUAAAAGAGUAGGCGCAAACUACCUGGGUGAUGUCUAAUUCUCGCGAGGUUCGGACGUGCGUCUACUUAAAGUGCGUCCGAAUAUGCCUACUUACCUACUAUAUAGUAGGGGAAAAUAGUACAUGAAAGAACUAGUAUGUCCGAAAUCCUCAGUAAUCAUAAAUGAGUAGUCGAGAAGUUCCCGGAUGGCCUACUGCUCCUGCCCAGAUUCUGAAGUGUUCAUCCGAUGGACACUUUUCUAUCCCAGGAGGCCACGGGAGAGGUACGUCACACUCGAACACGGAGGAGAAAAGCGGCGCGGAUGUUUUCAAAUGGACAGAUGAUCACGUGUGUUUAUCCAGUGGAGAGAGGCUGAUGAACGAAUGAUGGCGUCAAUGGCUUUGACACUUCUGAUUCUUGAUGUCGGUAUGUUUGCUGCAGAGGUAGUGGAGCAGCACCUGCAAGGCAAGAUGAUGGCGGCAUUUGUGGGGGAAAGAAACCUGAAUAAUGACUGAAUUUAUAUGUUUGGGUGAACUAACCCUUUAAGUCCCCAAAUAGAAACUGUAUGUAUGCAUUUAUAUUAUGGUAGUACCUUGAAAAAGUAAACUUUAAGAAAUAAUCAGCUUUAUUGAGUGUUUGUGCCCAAGACACUAACAAAAAAGAUUUACAAAAAUCACAUUUACAUUUAUUUACAGGUUUGCUUUUGGCAGAUGCUUUUAUCAAAAGUGACAUACAGUGCUCUUAUUACAGGGAUGAUCCCCAUUGAGUAACCUGGAGUAAAGUGUCUUGAUUAAAGGUCCCGUUUUUCGUGGUUUUUUGAAGCUUUGAUUGUGUUUAUAGUGUGCAAUAUAACAUGUGUUCAUGUUUCACGUGUAAAAAAACACAGUAUUUUUCACAUAAUUUACUUAUCUGUAU